ACAAGGUGGAAAGUUAAGUCGUAACAAGGUUUCCGUAGGUGAACCUGCGGAAGGAUCAUUAC
RNAcentral lists this ribosomal RNA (62 nucleotides) under Sclerotinia sclerotiorum. RNAcentral describes it as "partial 18S ribosomal RNA". It matches the Rfam family "Eukaryotic small subunit ribosomal RNA", at positions 1771 to 1831 of the family's 1831-position model. The record is from RNAcentral. Lineage: Eukaryota; Fungi; Ascomycota; Leotiomycetes; Helotiales; Sclerotiniaceae.